Molecule: ribosomal RNA, 976 nt
Filed under: Limosilactobacillus fermentum
Lineage: Bacteria; Bacillati; Bacillota; Bacilli; Lactobacillales; Lactobacillaceae
Description: bacterial SSU rRNA
Rfam family: Bacterial small subunit ribosomal RNA
Source: RNAcentral
GAUGGAGCACACCGCGUGAGUGAAGAAGGGUUUCGGCUCGUAAAGCUCUGUUGUCUAAAGAAGAACACGUAUGAGAGUAACUGUUCAUACGUUGACGGUAUUUAACCAGAAAGUCACGGCUAACUACGUGCCAGCAGCCGCGGUAAUACGUAGGUGGCAAGCGUUAUCCGGAUUUAUUGGGCGUAAAGAGAGUGCAGGCGGUUUUCUAAGUCUGAUGUGAAAGCCUUCGGCUUAACCGGAGAAGUGCAUCGGAAACUGGAUAACUUGAGUGCAGAAGAGGGUAGUGGAACUCCAUGUGUAGCGGUGGAAUGCGUAGAUAUAUGGAAGAACACCAGUGGCGAAGGCGGCUACCUGGUCUGCAACUGACGCUGAGACUCGAAAGCAUGGGUAGCGAACAGGAUUAGAUACCCUGGUAGUCCAUGCCGUAAACGAUGAGUGCUAGGUGUUGGAGGGUUUCCGCCCUUCAGUGCCGGAGCUAACGCAUUAAGCACUCCGCCUGGGGAGUACGACCGCAAGGUUGAAACUCAAAGGAAUUGACGGGGGCCCGCACAAGCGGUGGAGCAUGUGGUUUAAUUCGAAGCUACGCGAAGAACCUUACCAGGUCUUGACAUCUUGCGCCAACCCUAGAGAUAGGGCGUUUCCUUCGGGAACGCAAUGACAGGUGGUGCAUGGUCGUCGUCAGCUCGUGUCGUGAGAUGUUGGGUUAAGUCCCGCAACGAGCGCAACCCUUGUUACUAGUUGCCAGCAUUAAGUUGGGCACUCUAGUGAGACUGCCGGUGACAAACCGGAGGAAGGUGGGGACGACGUCAGAUCAUCAUGCCCCUUAUGACCUGGGCUACACACGUGCUACAAUGGACGGUACAACGAGUCGCGAACUCGCGAGGGCAAGCAAAUCUCUUAAAACCGUUCUCAGUUCGGACUGCAGGCUGCAACUCGCCUGCACGAAGUCGGAAUCGCUAGUAAUCGCGGAUCAGCA